Long non-coding RNA from Syzygium oleosum, 888 nucleotides. RefSeq lists it as uncharacterized. The record is from RefSeq and is a predicted model, not a curated record. The transcript has 2 exons. NCBI's taxonomy places the organism in Eukaryota, Viridiplantae, Streptophyta, Magnoliopsida, Myrtales, Myrtaceae.
UAGAAAGAGAAUCUAGGGCUGUCCCAAGCUCCUCGUCAUCUAGUUUCGGGCUACAUGGGAAAGAACCAUGCCCAAACCCAAAGAAGGGAAAAGAUUAUGUGGGUAUAGCUGCUAAGAAGUCAUCCACAAUGCAUGAUUCUGAUUUGAGUAGUGAAGAACAAAAAUAAUUCACCCGCUUUCCCCAAUUUGUGCAUGAUUCUGGUCACGAUUGAGGGCAACAAUGUCUGUAUCCUGAUAAAGAGCUCCUUCCAGAUGACAGGGAAAUGAGUGUAUACAAUCAUCUUGAAGAGCCGAGACAACGAAUAUUUGCGUCCGUUAUGGCAGUCAGUGCUGCUAUUUUGGGAUGCUUUGCAUUCUCAAAAGAAUUAAUAAGGAUCCUGGAAGCUCCCGUCAAAACACAAGGUGUUCAAUUUCUGUAACUGGCUCCCGGGGAAUUCUUCUUUAUAACUUUGAAGGUUUUUGGAUACUGCGGUCUUCUCCUAGGAAGCCCCGUUUUUCUCUAUGAGAUCAUAGCGUUUGUUCUUCCAGGUCUAACGAGAGCAGAAAGAAGGUUCCUUGGGCCUGUUGUUUUUGGGGUCUUUUGUACUUUUCUAUGCUCGCAUUGUGCUCUCCUACCAUUUCAAACUUUUAUCAAGACGUUUUAAAAAAUGUUUCAUGAGGGUUCUGCUCGCCUGUGUUUUGACUUAACCAUGGAGAUUGUUUCUGAAAAUUUCAUGGAAUGUUUCUUGGAGGAUGAUACCUUAACAGAUGGGGGAUCGCAAUGUGGACAUAGUUUUCAUAAUGGAAACAGGGCAAGGGUUUUUUCCGCCCAACAAAUUGAUAAAUUGGUUUUGAUAGUUGAUGUUUUUGCAUGGAAAAAUGGAAUCGGAAGGAGUUUUCACUGCCCAA